Non-coding RNA from Malus domestica (apple), 1342 nucleotides. The record is from RefSeq and is a predicted model, not a curated record. NCBI's taxonomy places the organism in Eukaryota, Viridiplantae, Streptophyta, Magnoliopsida, Rosales, Rosaceae.
AUUUUUUCUUUCAAUUUUUAUAAUUUUCUUUUGGAAGAUGAUUUGGGCCUUGGCUAAUCUUAGGUUUUGUGGUUUGAAAUUCGAGUGCAAGUCGGGCGAGUGAGGCCAUCUCCAAUCAUGAAGGAUAAUUUCCUACAUUGGAACGAAGUGGAAAGUGUGUUGUUCGCGAAGCCGAAACUGGGGACAGGGUUUACUUCGAAGGAGAGGCUGAAGUUACUUGUUCUGCUAAUGAUGAUGAAAGGAAAUCGACCCGAGUUAAAAUUGAAACGAUAUGAUUAUUUUGGUUAUGGUUUUGCAUCAAUUGAACAUCAGGCCGAUGUGAUUGCUUUAUCCAAGCUGAUUUGCUUGGUGCUAGCCCAUGAGAAUUGCACUCUGCUGCAGCCAAAAUCAAUCUGGAAUGCUGAUAAAGCUCAAAAGACAUGCUCUCUUGUUGAGAAUAUAUUGCAUUUGGAUCCAAUUGAAGUAAACAUAUUUCAAGGGAUUACUUUGCUGGAUACGCCACAAUUCGGACAGGUUUUUGGAAGGCAGUUAGUUGGACAGGCAUUAGCUGCAGCAACGAAAACUGUUGAUUGUCUUAAACUUCUCCAUAGUGUGCAUGCACAUUUUCUGCUUGCUGGGGAUUCUAACAUUUUACAGAAAGAAGAAGGGUCUGUCCACCAGCAAGCAACAAUGCCAUCUGUGCCUGUUCCAGAUACGCUUCUGUCGAUGGAAGAACUACAUGAAAAACGUUUGCUUGAUCCGCAUCUUCCAAGGACAUACCAAAUCAAGGCAGCUGCAAUGAAAUUUGUGCCUUGGCUUAUAGAUCAACCGCUCAGACUAAAUCCCCACCAAGUGAUAUUUCAGUUUGAGGUUCUGGUUUAGAGCAAAAGGAAAACUUUCAGACGAUCAGGCUUUGCAUAGAUAUGCACCCAUUUUAUCUAUGAGCUGACAUUCAGAUAUCUGGUUAUCUAUGAUUUAUCUGGGGUUAAGUUGAGUAGCGUUAGUUUGGACCAUGCGUUUGUCACUUUUUUUUACCGCAGAGCUGGGGUCAUUGAGUUGAGAAUGAUCAAAAAAUGUAUUGAACAUACAGUGUUUUCAAAUAUUCUCCCAGGAUGUGGUUUCACCGGCCGGUUAGAGCUGAUGGCUGGUUACUGUAUGUGAUGGUGAGUCCCAUUGCCUACGACACGCAUGGAUUUGUUUUGGGCCAAAUGUUUUACAGAAACGGAGAGGUAUCGACUGUUAUGUACCGCCCGUCUCUCAUUGCUGUUGGUUUGCAUCUGUCGAAGCAUUGUGUGAUGAACUAAAGUUUAUGUAUGUUUUGAUGGCAGCUUGUUGUAUCAUUGACUCAAGAGUCCCUAAAUAG